CUGAAACUAACUUGUUAGAACUGAGGUUUCCUAGCCUUAGCUGCACUACUCACUUCUAAGGAGACAAGACUGUGGUGAUGUCUAGGGUUGGAGAAGGCAGAGAGGAAAGCAGGAACGGGAUGGCUGCUUUCUUCAGUAACUCUUUGUCCUCUCGGCGAUACCUCAGGGAAGACUGUGAAAAAAGAGAGGGGUCUGAAAAACCACAGAAGCUGAUGAUACCUGAAGAGGAGCAAGGGGGCCAAGCAGCAGUCCACCAACAACAGCAAGAGCAGUUUGUCAGCCCAUAUGUCUUGAUAACUCCUAAUGAAGCAAGAAGAAACCAGUUGCAGCAAAUUGCUAAGAAAGAGCUAGAUGACCUGGAGAGGUGGAAGGAAGAACACAAGCCAGGGCCAAUUAAGUUGACUCCACAGAGACUGGGUGGAAAGGAAUCAGAGGCUCAAGUAAGGCAAAAACAACAGAUGAUGCUCAUGCGAUCUAAGUACCAGCAAAAGUACAAGAGAGAAGAAUACAUAAGAACAAAAAAGGCAGCUGAAGAAGCUGAAAUCAUGAAAAAGAAAGCAAUUCAAAGAGAAAAGGCAGAGAGGCUUGAAGCUAAGAAAAGACAAGAAGAAAUGCAGAGUGGAGAGAUGUACUUUGAAGAUCAAUAUUACAAAACCAAUGAAUUAUUGAACAGAUUGGACUUGGGUUUGCCAAAGAGUGAUUCCUGUCAGAUUGCGAAUCAUGGCCCAGAAGCUACAGCAUGGACUAGAAGCCAUACUUACAGGAAAGCUCUUCGAGAGGAUGAAAACAGAAGAUUAGAGGAAAUGAAGCAAGAACAACGAAGGAAGGCUGAGUUGAUGGAGUUUAAGCAAAAGCGGAGAGAGGAAGCCCGAACAAGAGAACACCAAAAUGAACAGAGGAGGGUAAAUAAUGCUUUUCUGGACCGACUACUGGACAAAACGCAAGCUAAUAGCCUCUACCAACUUGAAUGAAGUAGGAGUCGGGACGGACUCCUUCAGUAACAGCUGCCGGGACACCACCAAAUGCGUGUGCUGGACACAGACACAGUUUCAAUAACAGAUAGCUCUAUGCUGAACACAAUCAAUCUGUCUUUUUUAAACUAUGGGAAGACAAAUUAAUAAACUUCCACUUCUGUCUGUGGACUACUGCACCCCUGAGGAGUCAAACUAUUCGGAAUAAAGGAUUGGUGUUGCCCAAAGGGUACUGGAGGAAUAUUCACUUUUAUCCAGCCUUGGCCAAAUGACCUUGUAAAAGCUUCAAGAAAGCUCUCUUUUAUCACAGCGUUUGUUUAUUUUUUUCCUUACUCUGACUUCAACUUCACACCCACUACACGAGCAAUCUCCAGAGACUGGUUUCUAGCUGUCAUUAUUCACGCAUAUUUGAAGCAGCUGAUUAUGAAAGCCCUAUUUAAUUUUUAAUAAGUGAAUGUGUCAUUUUUUUCAUAAAUUGUUUUGACUCUUCCAGAAUGCAAUUAUCUCAGUUAUUGGCAUCUCGGAAAAAAAGAAGACGUUAGUGCCUACAGAAGCUGCAGGAAUAUCAAUGUGUACUUUUUCUGUUCUAUACCCAGGCAAAAAUUUUCCAGUGACUUGAACUGAAGUAGCUGAUGAUUUUAGGGAGGAGGGGAGUAAAUGAAUAUUGUUUUUAUUCAUGUUGUUGUUUAUCAGCUAUUACAUCUAACAGUAAAGGCUCAAGAAGCAAGUGUAUAUAUUAUAGAUAGAAUCUUUCAAAUGUUUUUAAAAAGGUAUAACAUCCAUGAGAGAAAUAAAACUGAAUAAAUUUCAAUGUUAUUUCAUCUUUCCCCUAUCUUCUGUGAUGUGAUAGACCAGUUUUUCCUUUUGUCAGUUUUACCUUGGUAACUUCCGUUACAUGAGUGAGGAAUACUAUCGCAAGCUUAGCUUUAGUUUCUUACUUUUCUUUUUCCCUGUAGUCUCGUGGAAUUGAAUUUUAUAUCCCUAUUUCUGCAAGGAACAUGUUAAUGCUUUCCAAGAGUCCAGUGCACAACCUAAAUAUGUCUAAUGAAAAAGGAAGAUCUGUAGCACAUGGUACAUAAACCAUGUAGAUAAAACAAAUCUGCUGCAUUUACAAGUAUACUUUAUGCAAAGUUAAAGGUUUCCUGAGUAGUUUUUUCAAUCCACAGAUGUGCCAUGAUGUUUUUCCAACACUGUUACAAUAUGACAAUUCCAUAAUGAAUGAUGUUAAGUUUUCUUCUGAAGCAUGGAUAUUGCUAUGUUUGCUUUCCCUCUGGGGCUCUCUAUAAUUGCCGUUAGGUAUGUCUGGCUGAGAGAUUUACUCUUACCUCUUACAAGUUAGUAGCUAGCUGGUGUUGAUUGGAAAUACCAGAGUUUUUGACAAUGCUCUGUGUUUUACCCCUUUUUUUUUUUUUUAACAUCUGACAAUGGGAACUCAGGAAAAAUUGUGCAUACCUACAGAAUGGCACUGUAUUACCAGUAGUGCUUUACUGUGC
Molecule: RNA transcript, 2464 nt
Organism: Rhea pennata
Lineage: Eukaryota; Metazoa; Chordata; Aves; Rheiformes; Rheidae
Gene: EPSTI1
Gene name: epithelial stromal interaction 1
Exons: 14
Source: RefSeq, a predicted model, not a curated record